RNAcentral lists this ribosomal RNA (405 nucleotides) under uncultured bacterium. RNAcentral's name for it is "partial 16S ribosomal RNA". It matches the Rfam family "Bacterial small subunit ribosomal RNA", at positions 28 to 526 of the family's 1533-position model. The record is from RNAcentral.
GACGAACGCUGGCGGCGUGCUUAACACAUGCAAGUCGAACGAGUGGCGAACGGGUGAGUAACACGUGGGUGACCUGCCCUGCACUUCGGGAUAAGCCUGGGAAAAUGGGUCUAAUAACGCAGAGUGUGGGAUGGGCUCGCGGCAUAUGAGCUUGUUGGUGGGGUAAUGGUGACCAAGGCGCGACGGGUAGCCGGCCUGGGAGGGUGGAAGGCCACAUUGGGACUGAGACACGGCCCAGACUCCUACGGGAGGCAGCAGUGGGGAAUAUUGCACAAUGGGCGGAAGCCUGAUGCAGCGACGCCGCGUGUAUGAAGAAGGCCUUAGGGUUGUAAAGUACUUUCAGCGGGGAGGCGUUACCCGCAGAAGAAGCACCGGCUAACUCCGUGCCAGCAGCCGCGGUAAUAC